CGUAGGCGGGACGGCCAAGGGUACACUGUGCGGAGAACCGUCCGCUCCCCUUAGACGGUGCCAGCAGCCGCUCCUCUUCCCCAAAAACAAUGAGACAGACGAGGUCAUCACCUCCAUCAACGUUCCUUUAGGGGUUGAGGAGUGCCAGCAGGCAAACAAUGACUGCCCUGAGGAACCUGAAGAGAAGGAGCACCA
This is a long non-coding RNA of Salmo salar (Atlantic salmon), 195 nucleotides long. RefSeq lists it as uncharacterized. The record is from RefSeq and is a predicted model, not a curated record. Lineage: Eukaryota; Metazoa; Chordata; Actinopteri; Salmoniformes; Salmonidae.